CAGCCCUUACCUCCAUCAUCAACCCCACUGACAUAAAAAAUUUGACGGGAUCUAGGGAUUCUGCCGAACACCCAGACAUGGAUCCACCUGAUGUCCUGCAUUACCAACCACUCUCCAACUUUUCAUUACAUCAGCUACUGUUAUUGUCAUGUUGUCCAUAUCUGCUAAGACAAGCCCGUGUAUGAAUCAAAUGUUUUGGCAUAUGAAUGAAGUGGAAAUUAGAUGACUUUGUGAUCUGUAAGGUGUCCUGGAGUAGUUUGCCCCCCGGUGAUGCGUUGUGCAGACCGCACCACCCUCGGGAGAGUUGCAGUACCAGGCAGUGAUACAGCCCGACAGGAUGCUCUCAAAUGUGAACCUGUAAAAGUUAGUGAGGGUUUUUGGUGAC
Long non-coding RNA from Oncorhynchus tshawytscha (Chinook salmon), 385 nucleotides. Lineage: Eukaryota; Metazoa; Chordata; Actinopteri; Salmoniformes; Salmonidae. The record is from Ensembl.